Molecule: ribosomal RNA, 498 nt
Filed under: uncultured bacterium
Lineage: Bacteria
Description: partial 16S ribosomal RNA
Rfam family: Bacterial small subunit ribosomal RNA
Source: RNAcentral
GACGAACGCUGGCGGCGUGCCUAAUACAUGCAAGUCGAACGAGAGCGACCGGUGCUUGCACUGGUCAAUCUAGUGGCGAACGGGUGAGUAACACGUGGGUAACCUGCCCAUCAGAGGGGGAUAAAAUCCGGAAACGGAUGCUAAAACCGCAUAGGUCUUCGAACCGCAUGGUUUGAAGAGGAAAAGAGGCGCAAGCUUCUGCUGAUGGAUGGACCCGCGGUGCAUUAGCUAGUUGGUGAGGUAACGGCUCACCAAGGCCGUGAUGCAUAGCCGACCUGAGAGUGCGAUCGGCAACAUUGGGACUGAGACACGGCCCAAACUCCUACGGGAGGCAGCAGUAGGGAAUCUUCCGCAAUGAACGCAAGUCUGACGGAGCAACGCCGCGUGAGUGAAGAAGGUUUUCGUAUCGUAAAACUCUGUUGUUAGAGAAGAACAAGUGCUAGAGUAACUGUUAGCGCCUUGACGGUAUCUAACCAGAGAGCCACGGCUAACUACGUG